UGAUUGAGAACUGCGUAGAAUGACAGGCCCAUAGCCCUGGCUGGGCUGCGCGCGCCGAGGCGCGUCGAAUCACCAAAGAAAGCCCUUGGGCCUCGGCCCAGCUGCGCGAGAGGAAGGAAGGAGCUGGUUCCUAAAAAAAAAAAAAAGAGACAGGAGAGGAGGAGGAGCACGGUGGGGGAGGAGACGCCGCAUCUCCGGCGGGAGGAGGAGGUGGCGCAACCUUCUUCCUCCCCCCACCACCCUCUUCCCGGCCUCACAUUUGGAGCCAGUACGGGCUCGGGCGGCAGAUAUGGACGGCGUCACGACGGCGGCUUAGCGCGUGAGGCCGUCCGGGCGGAGCGCGGGAGCGAGAGCUUCUCAAAGCGCUGAUGUUUGUCGUCCAGAGAAGCUGUCCGUUGGUGUCUGACAACGCAAGAUCGGAUUCGCUUGUGAACGCGAGUGUUGCAGAAGAAGGAUCAGUUAUGGGCAUGGCACGGUUGGCAACCCACACACAGUUGUCUUCGGGUAUGUUCUUGUACCAUAUGCCGACGUAGUAAUGUUUUGUGCUGGAGCUGGACAGGGAGAAGAAUCCCAGGGCAAAAGUGCCGUCAUCGGAGGUGAUGGUGCUUCCAGCAGAAAGCGGCUUGUCGGGAAGAAGGCGGCUGCCGGAUGAUGCACAGAACGGGAAUAACCAAAAUGACCAACAAACAAGCCAGAUGAUUGUGUGUAGGGGAAGGGGAUCCAUUGCUGUAGUGAACUAUGGAACUGGGAUAUGGAAGCAAAGAACUGCCUUGGACAAUGCAAAUCAGAACUGAGGCAGAGUCAGUCAAGCAUUUUAUUUGGGCUCCUUUUUCCACAGGAAGCUACUGGGAAAGUGGGAAUCUUGGAAGUAGUCAAAGAGAGAUGUUUCUAGGAAGUUUGAAAAUGUUGGGUUGGUUGCUAUCACCUGGACUAUGAUGGACUGACCUUUGUCAGCAAACAGAAUAGCCAUUUACUUUUCUUUUCGAUGUGACUGCUGGGUUUUCUUGUUUGAAUGUGCUGAUCACUACAAUUUUAGUUGGAACAAACCCCUUGUUUUGGUUUUGGUAUGUUACCUUAGAUUUUUUUGAAACAAACUUAUCUUUUGUGUAUCUACAUAUGAGAUCAUGGGUCUUUAUGUCGGACAUCAGUGGUGCAGGAAA
Molecule: long non-coding RNA, 1160 nt
Organism: Hordeum vulgare subsp. vulgare (domesticated barley)
Lineage: Eukaryota; Viridiplantae; Streptophyta; Magnoliopsida; Poales; Poaceae
Exons: 2
Source: RefSeq, a predicted model, not a curated record